This 465-nucleotide ribosomal RNA is filed under the name uncultured bacterium. RNAcentral describes it as "bacterial SSU rRNA". It matches the Rfam family "Bacterial small subunit ribosomal RNA", at positions 28 to 507 of the family's 1533-position model. The record is from RNAcentral. RNAcentral also lists the same sequence under 1 other name.
GAUGAACGCUAGCGGCGCGCUUGAUCCAUGCAAGUCGAACGGACCCCAGUUCUUCGGGACGGGGGUUAGUGGCGAACGGGUGAGUAACACGUUGGUGACCUACCCUUGAGUGGGGGAUAACUAUCCGAAAGGAUGGCUAAUCCCGCAUGAGCUCCGGCAUUCGGUUGUUGGAGGAAAGGCUCAUAUGAGUCGCUCGAGGAGGGGCCAGCGGCGGAUUAGCUAGUUGGUGGGGUAAAGGCCUACCAAGGCGAUGAUCCGUAGGGGGCGUGAGAGCGUGGUCCCCCACACUGGCACUGAGACACGGGCCAGACUCCUACGGGAGGCAGCAGGAAGGAAUCUUGCGCAAUGGGCGAAAGCCAGACGCAGCGACGCCGCGUGGACGAUGAAGGCCUUCGGGUUGUAAAGUCCUUUUCCGAGGGAAGAGAAGGGACGGUACCUCGGGAAUAAGCCUCGGCUAACUACGUG